UUAGCCCAAACCAAUGUUGUUACGGCAAUAUUGGGGUUGUAGGACCACGAUGUCGCAAGAACUUUAGUGAGAAGAAUUCUUUGGAAAAUGAAACCAUAGACGGUGAUAGUCCGGUAUUCGAAGCUAAACGAAGCGUAGUGGUAUCCUGAGUAGCGCGGGACACGAGGAAUCUUGCGUGAAUCUGCCGGGACCAUCCGGUAAGGCUAAAUACUCCCGAGAGACCGAUAGCGAACCAGUACUGUGAAGGAAAGGUGAAAAGCACUUCGAAUAGAAGAGUGAAAUAGUCCCUGAAACCGUGCGCCUACAAGCGGUCGGAGCAGCGUAAGUUGUGACGGCGUGCCUUUUGCAUAAUGAACCUACGAGUUACUUUUUCCGGCAAGGUUAAGCAUUUCAAAAUGUGUAGCCGAAGCGAAAGCGAGUCUGAACAGGGCGAUUAGUCGGAAGGAGUAGACGCGAAACCAAGUGAUCUACCCUUGGUCAGGUUGAAGGUUAGGUAACACUAACUGGAGGACCGAACCGAUAAGCGUUGAAAAGCUUCCGGAUGAACUGAGGGUGGGGGUGAAAGGCUAAUCAAACUUGGAGAUAGCUCGUACUCCCCGAAAUGCAUUUAGGUGCAGCCUUGGGAAUUACUACUGUGAGGUAGAGCGACUGAUAAGAUGCGAGGGCUUCACCGCCUAUCAAGUCUUGAUAAACUCCGAAUGCGCAGUAGUUCGAUCCCAGGAGUGAGGGCAUGGGUGCUAAGGUCCAUGUCCUAAAGGAGAAGAAUCCGGACCAUCAGCUAAGGUCCCGAAAUAAUUGCUAAGUUGAACUAACGAAGUCAGAUUGCUAAGACAGCUAGGAUGUUGGCUUGGAAGCAGCCAUUCAUUUAAAGAGUGCGUAACAGCUCACUAGUCGAGGAGUUUGGCGUGGAUAAUAAUCGGGCAUUAAGCAAUUUACCGAAGCUAUGGGAUCAGUAAUGAUCGGUAGGGGAGCAUUCCACUCUGCGUCGAAGGUGAAGCGUGAGCUUUGCUGGAGCGUGUGGAAAAGCAAAUGUAGGUAUAAGUAACGAUAAAGGGGGUGAGAAACCCCCUCGCCGAAAGACUAAGGUUUCCUGAUCAACGCUAAUCGGAUCAGGGUUAGUCGGGUCCUAAGGCUCAGCCGAACGGUGAGGCCGAUGGCAGAACAGGUUAAUAUUCCUGUACUACCUUAAGGAGUGACGUGGAGACGGAGCAGUGAUAGCGCCGCGGACUGACGGAAUAGUCCGUUGAAGGGUGUAGAUGUUGAUCUUUGCAGGCAAAUCCACAAAGAGAGUCGAACCUGAUAGUAUGGAACGUUCUUCGGAACAAUCCAAUAGUGCGUGUAAACAUACUCCCAAGAAAAUCCGCUAAACUUAAUCUUUAAGGUACCCGUACCGCAAACGGACACACGUAGUCGGGUUGAAUAUACUAAGGCGCUUGAGUGAUUCACGGUUAAGGAACUAGGCAAAUUGACCCUGUAACUUCGGGAUAAAGGGUCCCAACGAGAGUUGGGCGCAGAGAAUAGGUCCAGGCAACUGUUUAACAAAAACACAGGGCUGUGCCAAAUUGAAAGAUUACGUAUACAGCCUGACACCUGCCCGGUGCUGGAAGGUUAAGAGGAGAUGUCAUCGCAAGAGAAGCAUUGAAUUGAAGCCCCAGUAAACGGCGGCCGUAACUAUAACGGUCCUAAGGUAGCGAAAUUCCUUGUCGGGUAAGUUCCGACCUGCACGAAUGGUGUAAUGAUCUGGACACUGUCUCAACCGUGAGCUCAGUGAAAUUGUAGUAUCGGUGAAGAUGCCGAUUACCCGCGAUGGGACGAAAAGACCCCGUGAACCUUUACUAUAGCUUAACAUUGAAUUUGGGUAAUUGAUGUGUAGGAUAGGCCGGAGACUUUGAAGCAGGUACGCCAGUAUUUGUGGAGUCGCUGUUGAAAUACGGCCCUUUGAUUAUUUGAGUUCUAACUCGUUGUUGCGAGGACACUGUUUGGUGGGUAGUUUGACUGGGGUGGUCGCCUCCAAAAGUGUAACGGAGGCUUCUAAAGGUGCCCUCAGGACGAUUGGUAACCGUCCGUAGAGUGUAAUGGCAUAAGGGCGCUUGACUGGGAGACAGACAAGUCGAUCAGGUAGGAAACUAGAGCAUAGUGAUCCGGUGUUUCCGCAUGGAAGGGACAUCGCUCAAAGGAUAAAAGGUACUCCGGGGAUAACAGGCUGAUCCCUCCCAAGAGCUCAUAUCGACGGAGGGGUUUGGCACCUCGAUGUCGGCUCGUCACAUCCUGGGGCUGGAGAAGGUCCCAAGGGUUGGGCUGUUCGCCCAUUAAAGUGGCACGCGAGCUGGGUUCAGAACGUCGUGAGACAGUUCGGUCUCUAUCUAUCGUGGGCGUAUGAAAUUUGCGUGGCUCUGACACUAGUACGAGAGGACCGUGUUGGACUGACCGCUGGUUUACCAGUUGUGCCGCCAGGUGCAUCGCUGGGUAUCUAAGUCGGGAUUGGAUAAGUGCUGAAAGCAUCUAAGUACGAAGCCAGCCACAAGAUUAGAUUUCUUAGGGUCGUUAAAGACGAUGACGUUGAUAGGAUGCAGGUGUAAAGGUGGUAACAUCAAAGCCGAGCAUUACUAAUUGCCCGUUCACUUUCUUU
RNAcentral lists this ribosomal RNA (2629 nucleotides) under Bacteroides xylanisolvens. RNAcentral's name for it is "partial 23S ribosomal RNA". It matches the Rfam family "Bacterial large subunit ribosomal RNA". The record is from RNAcentral. Lineage: Bacteria; Pseudomonadati; Bacteroidota; Bacteroidia; Bacteroidales; Bacteroidaceae.